Molecule: non-coding RNA, 73 nt
Organism: Ameiurus melas (black bullhead)
Lineage: Eukaryota; Metazoa; Chordata; Actinopteri; Siluriformes; Ictaluridae
Source: the annotation of a GenBank genome assembly
GGCAGGGUGGUUUAUUGCUUAGUACGUUUGCCUCAUACCGCUGGGGUUGGGGGUUUGAAUCCCGCCUCUGCUC